GCUUCUUUAGCUCAGUUGGUACGAGCGUCCGACUGAAGAAUUCAGUUCAAAGUCGCCACUGUGUGCAGUGGAUGUAAAUCGGGAGGUCACCUGUUCGACCCAGGUAAGGAGCA
Molecule: transfer RNA, 113 nt
Filed under: Mycosarcoma maydis (corn smut)
Lineage: Eukaryota; Fungi; Basidiomycota; Ustilaginomycetes; Ustilaginales
Description: tRNA-Phe for anticodon GAA
Source: RNAcentral